Molecule: non-coding RNA, 88 nt
Organism: Lophiotrema nucula
Lineage: Eukaryota; Fungi; Ascomycota; Dothideomycetes; Pleosporales; Lophiotremataceae
Source: the annotation of a GenBank genome assembly
GGUGCCUUGGCGCAAUGGUAGCGCGUUGGUUUUCGGUGAUAUCAAAGCUGUUCACCAAAGGUUGAGGGUUCGAGCCCCUUGGGCAUCG